AUUGAACGCUGGCGGCAUGCCUUACACAUGCAAGUCGAACGGCAGCACGGGUGCUUGCACCUGGUGGCGAGUCGCGAACGGGUGAGUAAUACAUCGGAACAUGUCCUGUAGUGGGGGAUAGCCCGGCGAAAGCCGGAUUAAUACCGCAUACGAUCUACGGAUGACAGCGGGGGACCUUCGGGCCUCGCGCUAUAGGGUUGGCCGAUGGCUGAUUAGCUAGUUGGUGGGGUAAAGGCCUACCAAGGCGACGCUCAGUAGCUGGUCUGAGAGGACGACCAGCCGCACUGGGACUGAGACACGGCCCAGACUCCUACGGGAGGCAGCAGUGGGGAAUUUUGGACAAUGGGCGAAAGCCUGAUCCAGCAAUGCCGCGUGUGUGAAGAAGGCCUUCGGGUUGUAAAGCACUUUUGUCCGGAAAGAAAUCCUUGGCCCUAGUACGGUCGGGGGAUGACGGUACCGGAAGAAUAAGCACCGGCUAACUACGUG
Molecule: ribosomal RNA, 486 nt
Filed under: uncultured bacterium
Lineage: Bacteria
Description: partial 16S ribosomal RNA
Rfam family: Bacterial small subunit ribosomal RNA
Source: RNAcentral